Molecule: ribosomal RNA, 513 nt
Filed under: Anomala cupricollis
Lineage: Eukaryota; Metazoa; Arthropoda; Insecta; Coleoptera; Scarabaeidae
Description: partial 16S ribosomal RNA
Rfam family: Bacterial large subunit ribosomal RNA
Source: RNAcentral
GUCUUUUUGAUUAUAAUUUAAAGUCUAGCCUGCCCAAUGAGGAGUUGAAUGGCCGCGGUAAUUUGACCGUGCAAAGGUAGCAUAAUCAUUAGUUUUUUAAUUGAAAGCUGGAAUGAACGGUUGGACGAGAAAAUAACUGUCUCAAUUUAAUUGAAUAUAGAAUUUUAUUUAUAAGUAAAAAAGCUUAUAUAAUUUUAAAAGACGAGAAGACCCUAUAGAAUUUUAUAUUUUAUUAUACUGAUUAGGGUUAGUAUGCGUAUAUUUUUAGUAUAAUAACAUAUUUUGCUGGGGCAGCAGAAAAAUUAAAUAAACUUUUUUUACUAGUAUUACAUUGAUUUAUGAUUUAAUGAUCCAUUAUUUAUGAUUAUAAGAUUAAAUUACCUUAGGGAUAACAGCGUAAUUUUUUUUAGAGUUCUUAUCGAAAAAAGAGUUUGCGACCUCGAUGUUGGAUUAAAAUUAACUUUUGGUGCAGGGGCUAAAAGGUUAGGUCUGUUCGACCUUUAAAAUUUUACA